UUCCCCUGUGUGGAACAAGAACCAGGUGUUAGUACAGGGUUGUUAAGAACAUCUCAGCUUUCAGCCCCCCUGCCAGCGGAAGCACUUCAGCUCUUGGGCCCGCAGCUCAGCCUGAUGGAGCAGGGAUUUGCCUGCAGCACCCAUCCACAAGGUCUGUCCUUCUGCUGGGCGGCUUCGCAACAAGCGCCAGGCUCUGGAGUCAGUGCACUCCCUUCCCUCUUCUGAAUGUCAGUUCUCAUAGCUCUGUGUCCUUUACUCAUCAGUGCUGAAUUGCUCUUCUCUAACCCCACUUCUCAAUGUUACUAAGUUUAGCUGCUGCUCCAAGGCUUGCCAGAGGGCAAGAGGUUUUUCUUAUGUCAGCACAAUGUUCAGGAAUAAAUACAUCUAUGGUUCAGUUUUGGCAUAGCUAUCCAAAGCUGCUCCCAGACCCAGUAGAUUUAUAAUAAACUCUGCUUACAAGAACUCCAGCUAACAAAGGAGAGGGGAAGAGGUCUGGAUGCUGCCAGCAGAGAGAGCAUGCAGAGUUAGACUGGACAAAGAGAAACCUGGGAAGGAGCUGCAGGCACUGGGAGCAGUUGCUGUAUGUUAUAUGCUCUGGCUGCAGGCAUUCCCAAUUCAAACACCCACAUGGAGGGAUGACCAUGGCUUUGGGUGACUGCAUGGCCAUACUUGGAGCGAGCCCAACCCCUGGGCCAGGGAAGCUCUCGCAAGAUGGGAACCUGUGGCAGGAUGGGGCUGCACAGUCUGGCUGUGGGAUGCAUGGCCCUGAGAGCAUCACUUCUGCAGAGAAAUCCUUUCUGUGACAAGAAGUGAAGAAAACUGACAGAUUCUCUUCUCAAAGAUGGUUUGCCACCCAUCAGUAGCCUUAAGAAACUCCAGCCCCUACAGCUUUUGUAACCAGCUGCCUUCCCUGAUUUUGGUGACAGCGAAGGAAAGACGCAGCUCUGAGCACAGCCAUUCCCCUCUGACAAGAAUCUCCAGCCUAAGCAGGACAUAAACACUUCCUUGCUAUUUUCCACUGGCCAUCAGGGAAGGUCUUCUCAUGACCUGGAGUGGGCGAGGAGAGCGGCUGGCGCAGCGGCCUGAGCGCUGCCCCACACAGCAGCCCUUGUGCUGGGGCCACCCACAGCAUUCCUGCCAGCAUCUGUGUGCUCCAUGAUGCUGCUCUGAACAAUCCCCUCUCCAGCCUCAAACAUCUGGAGAUGUGCUCGGGCCUGGCAAGAGCUUUUUUUGUAGGCAAUGACAGAUCCCUAAGGAGUGUGAUUUCCAAAACCAGAAUCCCUCAUGUUUUGUACAACUCCCACACUAAAUUACCCUUCUGGGCUCUCAGCUGAGCCUAUCGACUGAGGAUCUGCUGCUUUGCUUUGUGAGGUGUGUCUGUUGCCCCGAACCUGCUCUGAGCCCCCGCUGCCCUCAGUACAGCUCAGUGAAGUCAAGAGACUUCUUUCCAACAGCUGUCAGCAAUCUGUUCCCAGGCACUCCCUUCUCUGAGCAAGGGGAUUGAUGCUAAUCUGGCAGCCAAAAGCUGCUUCCCUGUUCUACAGUGAUUUAGAGCUCAAAGGUCACUUCAGAUUUUAAAAAACAUGCUCCAUGUCCUAAUUCUGCUUUUCAUCCAUGCAUAAAGAAACAUCCUUCGCAUCAGGAUGCUGCCUCACUUGCCAGAAACAACUGUGGGAUUCUUAAUUACUCUACUUGCUUUCAUCCCUCACAAAUGCAAGUGGAAACCGUGGUUACACUUGAAUUGAACUGAGGCUUUGGGAGUUCACGUGAAGAGAGACAAGCACUCAGAGAAACUGCAGGUGCUCCCAGAGCCCCAGCAGGAGAUAUGCUUUUUUGUCUCUGCCUGCUCUUUCUGUUUCCACCAGAAAGUUUUCACACCCUCUAGCUGUUUGCAGCACGGACACCAGGCUCUGCCCAGGGCCAGCAGCCCCUGAAUGUGACAGCAACACCACAAGAGCUUUGGGUAGAUGUGGAGACAGCAGGCAAGGUAAGAGUGCAGGGAUGCCAUGUCGAGCUACUGCCUUCUCUGCCCUCAUCUGUCCCCACACUCCCAGGCUGAUUUUCAGGUCCUUCUGAGCGUAUUUGCACGUCAGAAGUUUUAUUUUAACUACCAAAGAGCAGCUUCCUUCCGACUCAACUCCUGCCUGCCAGAGUGCUUCAGCCUGCCUCCCUUCCUCCCUCCCUCCAGCCUGCAGCAGUUUGCUCUCAGGGGUUAUCUGGCUUCAGCAUCUGCCUGACACGGAUACGGCCGCUGACACGCCAUCAGCAGCAGUGCCAGUCCAGAGAUGCAGAGGAUCUACCACCCAUGCUGAAAAGUCACUCCAUAUAAUGAGUAGCAUUCAGAGCUAAAAGCUGGGAUCUAACAACAAUGCUGAGGCAAAUUCUCUCCCUGAGCAGCUAGAAAUCACAAAUUGAUAGGGAAGUCCCACACCCCCACAGCGCAGCUUGUUGCUGCUUCCCUGGACUGGCUCCAGCUCCCAUUCUUGGAAACAACUCCUGGCCACUGGAGGGAAGAAAGUUUUCUCUCCACCCAUCUGACUCUCACUGCUCCCGAAAUGCUUGUUCAGAGUCCUAGUCUGGGAUCUGCAAGACAGGGAGAAGACCACGCAGUGUGACCCUGGGCCAGGGUAGACCAUCACUGGGAUCUUGAUUUUACAAGCUGUUUGUUCAGAUCUGGCAGCAAAAUGCACAUCUUCGCAAAUUCCAGAGAAACAAAUCACAGGAAAGUCAAAAAGACUGUCAUGUAGGCCUCAGAUCCUGAGCUGAUUGAAGACCAUAAUGACUUAAAUCAGUGUUAACUGUUUUUAAAACAAAAGUCUGCUGCAGCAGUCCAAUUCAUGCUGCUUGCCUGGUCCCAGCAGCGUGUGUGUCUGGGACUGCACUAUGCAGCGUCUGUUCCAAGAAGGUAGGCACAGACACCAGGGACAGUGCAGCACUCUGAUCUCUCUCCAGCCAAAGGACAGCUGCUUUCAUUAAUCUGGCAGCUCUGAAUUGGCUCCAUGGUCACUCAGUUCAAGAGUCUGAGAAGCAGCAGCACAGCAGUCACUGCCAGUACUGGUGAGGUUUUACUUGUUCUCUGAACUACUUGCCAUCCUCCCACAAGGAUCCUGUAAUUUAAGCAGCACAAGCACUUGCCUACACUACAACUAGAUACAUUGAUCUAAGCCAGCUGAGAAUUUGUUUGUGAUUAUUCGUUAGUGCUAACUUUACUAAACCACCUAAACCCACACUAGAUCUCAGUCCAAUCUAUGUGCUUGCUCCAGCAGUCUCCAGAAAUCCAUGCUUUGUUAAAAAUUGGUGUAUGAUUGCAUGAGUAUUUUGAUGCAAACCAUCCGAUGGCCAAACAGAAACAUCUUUCAAGAGUCAUUUGGAAAAUCUCUGUAACUGAUUUCUCCUGAAAUCAGCCUCAGGUUUUCCCCUAAUUCUCAUGUCAUUCAGUGUAAACUUUGCUAAUAUGCAUCCAGGUCAAAACUGAGAUGGCUUAAGACAGGGUCAGUUUGUGUGUAUGAAGACAUCAGGAAACCCCCAAGACCUUUCCCUUUCCCCUUCACUACUCCACUUUGCUGUGGCAAUGCCAUACAGUAUUCCCAGAUGUAAACCCCAACUACUUCCAUAAAGCAAGUUGCUCUGCUGUCCUGUGUGCAUGUCUAGACUUGUUCUGCUCCGCCCCUCCAUCUAUAGAAAGCUAUAACAGAACUGGAAGAGAUUCAGGGACAGGAAACCAGGAUCAAAGUUAUGCACUGGCUGUGGAGCAAAAGCCUAAGGACAGAGUAACUAAGUAGACUAGAAACCUUCAGCUUGGAAGACAGUUGAGGGGAAAAUAUGAAACAUCCUGGGAGAUCACAGGAGACAGAAGAUAAUUCAUGGGAAUAGAUGCAACCAUUCAAUGUUCUCUGCUGUUUAACUCCUGGUGCUCUGCAACCUUGCACACCCAAAAUCCAAGAAAACAGUGAUGCAGCUCUGGGACUUCACCUGGAGAUGCAACGGGAGAUGCACCCUUUGAAAAGUAAAAGCAUUUAGUGUUCUCCCAGUAAAUGUUCUCUCAGUAAUUUGUGUCUUUCCAAGUGAUGCCUUCAGAAAUAACAUGUUCAUAUUCCUUUUACAGUCAGUCGCUCAGGUUUUCACAGCAUUCCCAGGGAAUUCACGCUAUAAGCAGAGCAUGGUCUUGCUACUAAGAAGGACCAAGCUAUGCCACAAUAGGCUUUUUUGGUUUUGCCAGUGUUUCCAUGUGUUUUCUGCACAGCCAUAGCCAGGUUCAAAACAAAGUUUCCAACAUCUGUGCCAUAUCCAAAGAAUGAAAUGCUUUUGCCUUUUACCCAGGUGCGUAAGUGCCACCACAAAAGACAGCUUCCUCAGACUAAAUGACAGGACAGGCUCCUUCUCCACCUAUACUAAGAUUUGGCAGAGACAAUGUAAUGAAAUCCACAUGUGUUCAUCCACCAGACUCCAGACCUCCAUUUAGGAAGACAGGCUCUUCCCCCACACUGUAACCUGGCCCUGUGUUUCUGCUUGGCUCCUGCCCAAAGGUCAAAACCUGCGGAUUAGUGGUCACUGUUACAACAUUUGCUUUCCACUUCGGAAUGCAUGAGCGGUGCGUUUUCUUAAGCUGUAUCUUUGAAAUGGCAAAAAAGAAAAGAAAUUAUUGUUGAAUUUUUUUUUAUCUAACAAAAUGAGUAUUUAUCUAAGAAAUACCUGCUGCCAUUUCACAGUGUCUCAUUAAUGAGUAACUUUAUUGCAAGGCAAACACUGUCAUUCUUACAGGAAAGAAGAAACCCCAAGUUUUAGAAGUAACACUUGCAUGUUAAGAGGCGCUGUGAAAGAAGAGCCUCAGUAAAUUCUAGAAUAAUUUGAUUAGGGGUUGAUUAUCUUGAGAAUAAUAAAAGAUGGAAGAUUCUGUAACA
Strigops habroptila (Kakapo) is the source of this 4901-nucleotide long non-coding RNA. RefSeq lists it as uncharacterized. The transcript is spliced from 2 exons. The record is from RefSeq and is a predicted model, not a curated record. Lineage: Eukaryota; Metazoa; Chordata; Aves; Psittaciformes; Psittacidae.